AGGAGUGAAUUCUAUUCCAGUCUACUAUUCUGCUGACUCCUCAGUUGGAGGGUUUUGAGCUCUGUCCCAGUUUCAGUGACCCAACAGCUGGUGCUGCCAGAAUACUCAAUUCAUAGCCUUUUCUGUAUCAUGUUCCUGUGUGCUCAGGAGUGGCUGACACUGGGGCUGAAUGUUCCUCUGCUCUUCUAUCACUUUUGGAGGUAUUUCCAUUGCCCUGCAGAUAGUUCUGAACUAGCCUAUGAUCCUCCUGUGGUCAUGAAUGCAGACACCUUAAGUUACUGUCAAAAGGAGGCCUGGUGUAAGCUGGCAUUCUAUCUCCUCUCCUUCUUCUACUAUCUUUACUGCAUGAUCUACACUUUAGUGAGUUCUUAACUGAGAGAUAACCUAUGUCACCAGAGACUGACACCAGCAAAAGGACAAAGGCUUGAGGAGAGAAGGCGAUCGAUACUGGAGAUUGGAUCGGAAGGACCUGGAGGAGGUGGUGGAUUUGGAAUUGGAGGCCAUUGGUUGAACGUGUGGAGGAAAACCAGGGAGAAGGGAAAGAGAGACGCAGUGGGCAGAAUGACUGGUUCAGAAUGCAGCUCGUGGGCUGGCUGACUGUGAAGGGCUCUUUUACUCUGUGUGUUGCAGUGGCUGGCAUUCCCACACAUGAACUGUGUAUCACUCCUGAGAAUCGGGGAGGUGGGGGAGAGCACAAAGCCAAACCUCUCAUGGGGGAGAACUGCUGCUUACCCAGAGUACUCCGGAAAACAGCUCCCUGCAGUUGCUUUUCACACUGGGUUCCUGGUAACAGUUCAGAUGGACUGUGGGAGUGGAGGCUGGGCUGGCUCUCUGCAAAGGGAUUUGAAUGCUCAGAAUACACUUCCGAGCCAGAGAUGUGGCCUGUGUGGAUAGCUGACAACAGAGAAACUCUUCUUGCCUCUUCCAAGCCCUUCCGGUGCCCCCUUUGGCUAGCAGUCAUGUGUGGUCUUCCUCUGGGCAGCCUCUGAGAGUAAAACAUCCAGGGGAGGUUCAUUUUUUUGUCAUGUUCCAAUUGAUUGGUGAUGGAAUGUUGCUAGGAUUCCAC
Molecule: long non-coding RNA, 1066 nt
Organism: Sarcophilus harrisii (Tasmanian devil)
Lineage: Eukaryota; Metazoa; Chordata; Mammalia; Dasyuromorphia; Dasyuridae
Source: Ensembl